This 477-nucleotide ribosomal RNA is filed under the name uncultured bacterium. RNAcentral's name for it is "partial 16S ribosomal RNA". It matches the Rfam family "Bacterial small subunit ribosomal RNA", at positions 30 to 507 of the family's 1533-position model. The record is from RNAcentral.
AUUGAACGCUGGCGGCAUGCCUUACACAUGCAAGUCGAACGGUAACAGGUUAAGCUGACGAGUGGCGAACGGGUGAGUAAUGUAUCGGAACGUGCCCAGUCGUGGGGGAUAACUGCUCGAAAGAGCAGCUAAUACCGCAUACGACCUGAGGGUGAAAGCGGGGGAUCGCAAGACCUCGCGCGAUUGGAGCGGCCGAUAUCAGAUUAGGUAGUUGGUGAGGUAAAGGCUCACCACGACGACGAUCUGUAGCUGGUCUGAGAGGACGACAAGCCACACUGGGACUGAGACACGGCCCAGACUCCUACGGGAGGCAGCAGUGGGGAAUUUUGGACAAUGGGCGCAAGCCUGAUCCAGCCAUGCCGCGUGCGGGAAGAAGGCCUUCGGGUUGUAAACCGCUUUUGUCAGGGAAGAAAAGGUUCUGGCUAAUACCUGGGACUCAUGACGGUACCUGAAGAAUAAGCACCGGCUAACUACGUG